Molecule: ribosomal RNA, 497 nt
Filed under: uncultured bacterium
Lineage: Bacteria
Description: partial 16S ribosomal RNA
Rfam family: Bacterial small subunit ribosomal RNA
Source: RNAcentral
GACGAACGCUGGCGGCGUGCCUAAUACAUGCAAGUUGAGCGCUGAAGCUUUGUACUUGUACCAACUGCGUGAGCCGCGCACGGGUGAGUAACGCGUGUGGAAUCUGCCUUUGAGCGGGGGACAACCUUUGGAAACGAAUGCUAAUACCGCAUAAACACUUUAUACACAAGUUUUAAGGUUGAAAGAUGCCAUUGCAUCACUCAAAGAUGAUCCCGCGUUGUAUUAGCUAGUUGGUGAGGUACAGGCUCACCAAGGCGAUGAUACAUAGCCGAACUGAGAGGGUGAUCGGCCACAUUGGGACUGAGACACGGCCCAAACGCCCAGGGGAGGCAGCAGGAGGGCAACUGCGGCAAUGGACGAGAGUCUGAGCGAGAAACGCCGCAUGAGUGAAGAAGGUUGUCGGAUGGUAAAACUCGGUUGGUAGGGAAGAACGUGGGUGAGAGUGGAAAGCUCAUCAAGUGACGGUAACGGGUCAGAAAGCAACGGCUAACUACGUG